RNAcentral lists this long non-coding RNA (510 nucleotides) under Coffea arabica (coffee). RNAcentral describes it as "long non-coding RNA (CARA_LNC000266)". Lineage: Eukaryota; Viridiplantae; Streptophyta; Magnoliopsida; Gentianales; Rubiaceae. The record is from RNAcentral.
GAUUCACGUCUCAUAGACUUGGAUUCUCAUGAAAAAACAGCAUUAAAGCAAUAAAGGGAGAAGCUAAGGUUACAUUGGGACCUUUGUAGAGUAGAACGAAUAUGAAAAUCACCCAAGAAAUCACGCUGGUCUGGAAACGAAGCUCAAAAGAGCGUUGCCGCUGGAAUUUCAGCAGUGACAAAGUCAGUAUUUUGGGCCACAAUUUGAGAGGGUUGGAGACACUUUUGCACACAAUUUCUUAACAAAAGUUGUUCAUGGGUAUCCAUAGAUGGUGUAGAAAAAAAGAAUUCGCUCAAAAAACCAUAAAUCAAGUCAGAAAUUGAUCGAGAAAGAGGCUGGUCGAUCAGCCUGAUCAGAAAUUUUUCCAGCAGAAAAAAUUUUCCCUUCCUUCCCUGAUUUCCUCUCGCUUUUCUUUCUUUUGCCUUUCGUUUUCCUUUCUGCUCCUCCCCAGACUCUCCCAGAUCCUUUCUUCCCUCUUUUCUUUUCCUUUUUUUCCUUUCCUCCUUUCUU